RNAcentral lists this ribosomal RNA (253 nucleotides) under uncultured bacterium. RNAcentral describes it as "partial 16S ribosomal RNA". It matches the Rfam family "Bacterial small subunit ribosomal RNA", at positions 524 to 776 of the family's 1533-position model. The record is from RNAcentral.
UACAGAGGGUGCGAGCGUUAAUCGGAAUUAUUGGGCGUAAAGAGUGCGCAGGCGGCGACAAAAGUAUAUCGUGAAAUCCCAGAGCUUAACUUUGGAAUUGCGAUAUAAACUGUGUUGCUAGAUUAUUGUAGAGGAUAGCGGAAUUUCCGGUGUAGCGGUGAAAUGCGUAGAUAUCGGAAGGAACACCAGUUGCGAAGGCGGCUAUCUGGUAGAUUAAUGACGCUGAGGCACGAAAGCGUGGGGAGCAAACAGG